AAUAAAAGGCACUACCGGGCCAGAUGACUUGUUGAGCUGUCUGUUACUUGCGAAAAAUGCUCCUGCGCUUGGCUUUCCUGUCAAAAUGGUUAUAUUCAAUUAGAACUUGGUGAAACAUCAUAUACCUUUCCUAGGAAAACAUCAUAUAUGAUCAAUUAGCAUCAGUGCCAGAACUGGAGGUGCAGGCAAACACCAAGCUGGGAUUAUCAAUAUUUAUGAAGGCAGUCCACUACUAAGUUUUGAAACCUCACGAGAGAGCACGUUGCUGCUCUUCACUUCAGCAGCAUAAACAUGCUUUUGCUAGCAUCUCCUUAUUUUUAAUUAGUUAUAUGCACCUUAGUUUUCAGCUUCUACAUUUGUUUGUAAACUAAUUGCAAAGUCACCAACUGAUCCUCCUUUCUAAUCCAAAAAAAUAUACAAAAAUUAAUAAAGUAUUGUUUUCGACCA
Molecule: long non-coding RNA, 447 nt
Organism: Populus euphratica (Euphrates poplar)
Lineage: Eukaryota; Viridiplantae; Streptophyta; Magnoliopsida; Malpighiales; Salicaceae
Exons: 2
Source: RefSeq, a predicted model, not a curated record